RNAcentral lists this ribosomal RNA (164 nucleotides) under Aphyllon pinorum. Its description in RNAcentral is "5.8S ribosomal RNA". It matches the Rfam family "5.8S ribosomal RNA". Rfam says of the family: 5.8S ribosomal RNA (5.8S rRNA) is a component of the large subunit of the eukaryotic ribosome. Lineage: Eukaryota; Viridiplantae; Streptophyta; Magnoliopsida; Lamiales; Orobanchaceae. The record is from RNAcentral.
AAACGACUCUCGGCAACGGAUAUCUCGGCUCUCGCAUCGAUGAAGAACGUAGCGAAAUGCGAUACUUGGUGUGAAUUGCAGAAUCCCGUGAACCAUCGAGUCUUUGAACGCAAGUUGCGCCCAAAGCCAUUGGCCAAGGGCACGUCUGCCUGGGCGUCACACAU